GACGAACCGAGCGAACGUUGUUCGGAAUCACUGGGCUUAAAGGGCGCGUAGGCGGGCUGUCAAGUCUGGGGUGAAAUCCCGCGGCUCAACCGUGGAACUGCCUCAGAUACUGACGGUCUCGAGGGAGGUAGGGGCGAGCGGAACUGAUGGUGGAGCGGUGAAAUGCGUUGAUAUCAUCAGGAACUCCGGUGGCGAAGGCGGCUCGCUGGACCUCUUCUGACGCUGAGGCGCGAAAAGCUAGGGGGAGCAAAACGGG
RNAcentral lists this ribosomal RNA (256 nucleotides) under uncultured bacterium. Its description in RNAcentral is "partial 16S ribosomal RNA". It matches the Rfam family "Bacterial small subunit ribosomal RNA", at positions 524 to 777 of the family's 1533-position model. The record is from RNAcentral.